RNAcentral lists this ribosomal RNA (366 nucleotides) under Quindina burbayar. Its description in RNAcentral is "partial small subunit ribosomal RNA". The record is from RNAcentral. Lineage: Eukaryota; Metazoa; Arthropoda; Arachnida; Opiliones; Nomoclastidae.
AGAUACCCUAGUAUGAAUUAUUUGUUAGAUUAGUAUUAAUUGAAAUUUAAAGAUUUUGGCGGUUAAUUAUAAAUUAGAGGAGCUUGUUUUAUAGAAUUAACUCUUUAUAUUUUAUGAUUAUUUUGUUUAUUUAUCUCCGUUAUUAGAAUUGAAGUUUGAAGAAAAUGAAUUUUUUAUUUCAGGUCAAGAUGUAGCAAUUGAUUUAUGUAAUUAGCUACAUUUAUAAAGUAGAUGAAUUUAUUUAAGUAUCUAUAUGAUGAAAUUGAAUUUAAGUGUAAUAUUGUUUAAAAUGAUACUGUGAAUUAGUGUAAUUAAUGUACAUAUUGCCCGUCACUUCUGUUGGUAAAACAGGAUAAGUCGUAACAA